UGCGUAGGCGGUUUGGUAAGUCUUAUGUGAAAUCUACAGGCUCAACUUGUAGUCUGCAUGAGAAACUGCCGGGCUUGAGUAUGGGAGAGGUGAGUGGAAUUCCUGGUGUAGCGGUGAAAUGCGUAGAUAUCAGGAGGAACACCUGUGGCGAAAGCGGCUCACUGGACCAUAACUGACGCUGAUGCACGAAAGCUAGGGGAGCAAACAGGAUUAGAUACCCUGGUAGUCCUAGCCCUAAACGAUGACUGCUUGGUGUGACGGGUACCCAAUCCCGCCGUGCCGUAGCUAACGCGUUAAGCAGUCCGCCUGGGGAGUACGGUCGCAAGGCUGAA
RNAcentral lists this ribosomal RNA (332 nucleotides) under uncultured bacterium. Its description in RNAcentral is "bacterial SSU rRNA". It matches the Rfam family "Bacterial small subunit ribosomal RNA", at positions 568 to 898 of the family's 1533-position model. The record is from RNAcentral. RNAcentral also lists the same sequence under 1 other name.